This 253-nucleotide ribosomal RNA is filed under the name uncultured bacterium. RNAcentral describes it as "partial 16S ribosomal RNA". It matches the Rfam family "Bacterial small subunit ribosomal RNA", at positions 524 to 776 of the family's 1533-position model. The record is from RNAcentral.
UACGUAGGCGACAAGCGUUGUCCGGAUUUACUGGGCGUAAAGAGCGCGCAGGCGGUCAAUCAAGUCGAGUGUGAAAGCCCCCGGCUCAACUGGGGAGGGUCAUUCGAUACUGAUCGACUCGAAGGCAGGAGAGGGUAGUGGAAUUCCCGGUGUAGUGGUGAAAUGCGUAGAUAUCGGGAGGAACACCAGUGGCGAAGGCGACUACCUGGCCUGUUCUUGACGCUGAGGCGCGAAAGCUAGGGGAGCAAACGGG